RNAcentral lists this ribosomal RNA (477 nucleotides) under uncultured bacterium. RNAcentral describes it as "partial 16S ribosomal RNA". It matches the Rfam family "Bacterial small subunit ribosomal RNA", at positions 28 to 523 of the family's 1533-position model. The record is from RNAcentral.
GACGAACGCUGGCGGCGUGCUUAACACAUGCAAGUCGAACGGUAAGGCCCUUCGGGGUACACGAGUGGCGAACGGGUGAGUAACACGUGGGUGAUCUGCCCUGCACUUCGGGAUAAGCCUGGGAAACUGGGUCUAAUACCGGAUAGGAACUCCUUGGGCAUCCUUGGAGUUGGAAAGUUUUUCGGUCUGGGAUGGGCCCGCGGCCUAUCAGCUUGUUGGUGAGGUAACGGCUCACCAAGGCGACGACGGGUAGCCGGCCUGAGAGGGCGACCGGCCACACUGGGACUGAGACACGGCCCAGACUCCUACGGGAGGCAGCAGUGGGGAAUAUUGCGCAAUGGGCGAAAGCCUGACGCAGCAACGCCGCGUGAGGGAUGACGGCCUUCGGGUUGUAAACCUCUUUCGGCAGGGAAGAAGCGAAAGUGACGGUACCUGCAGAAGAAGCACCGGCUAACUACGUGCCAGCAGCCGCCGUAA